UUUCCCUUUCAUCUUCCUUAUUUAUACCCAUUCAUCCCCUUAAUACCCCUACACAUACUUUUUGUUUUUCUAUAUAAAUCAAACAUUUUAUUAAAUUACUUACAUAUUAAUAUAUAUAUAUUUUCAAAUGAACGAAGAUGAUGAUGUGCCAAAUUGAUCCAUUUGAUGAUAAAUCAAUUUCAACAAAUAUGAUGAUGUUGAAGAAUUUGAGCUCAUCUAGGGUUAUUUUCGUCAUGGUGAUUUUAACGAUAACACUUUUGGUGUUGCCGUUAAUUCUGCCGCCGUUACCGCCACCGCCGCUAAUGCUACUGUGCGUUCCAGUUUUGCUUUUAAUUUUACUUGUUUAUUUAGCUUUUACUCCUUCUCAAUUGCCUAAUUAUAAUGUGCCUAUUACUUCUUUGUAGAACUGUGAAUGCUAAUAGAACGGAUUAAUAUAAUUUUAAUUUUUUUGAGAUUUUUUUGUUUUUGUUUUUG
RNAcentral lists this unclassified non-coding RNA (474 nucleotides) under Hevea brasiliensis (rubber tree). Lineage: Eukaryota; Viridiplantae; Streptophyta; Magnoliopsida; Malpighiales; Euphorbiaceae. The record is from RNAcentral.